Molecule: long non-coding RNA, 239 nt
Filed under: Actinidia chinensis (golden kiwifruit)
Lineage: Eukaryota; Viridiplantae; Streptophyta; Magnoliopsida; Ericales; Actinidiaceae
Description: long non-coding RNA (ACHI_LNC003001)
Source: RNAcentral
GACAGUAGCUCGUUUACCAACAAUGGGUUCUUGUGGUGAAGAUCCACAUAAAAGGUUUCUUCUUCUUGCUUUUUCUCUCUGGAAUCAUCGUAAAAUGUUUGUGAUUUUACUUCUUUUCAAAUAAAAGGCUUAACAAUGAAUAUAUCAUUUCUUAGCUUAUGCGAUAUUAACUUGCUAUAAUACCUGCUCUAAUAAAACGCUCCAAGUUUAUCAAAAGACGUUUUAGAUAAAAUUUUACG